RNAcentral lists this ribosomal RNA (443 nucleotides) under uncultured bacterium. RNAcentral describes it as "partial 16S ribosomal RNA". It matches the Rfam family "Bacterial small subunit ribosomal RNA", at positions 338 to 795 of the family's 1533-position model. The record is from RNAcentral.
CCUACGGGUGGCAGCAGUGGGGAAUAUUGGUCAAUGGGCGCAAGCCUGACCCAGCAACGUCGCGUGAAGGAAGAAGGCUUUCGGGUUGUAAACUUCUUUUCUCAGGGACGAAGAAAGUGACGGUACCUGAGGAAUAAGCCUCGGCUAACUACGUGCCAGCAGCCGCUGUAAUACGUAGGUGGCAAGCGUUAUCCGGAUUUACUGGGUGUAAAGGGCGUGUAGGCGGGGAAGCAAGUCAGAUGUGAAAACCACGGGCUCAACCUGUGGCCUGCAUUUGAAACUGUUUUUCUUGAGUACUGGGGAGGCAGACGGAAUUCCUAGUGUAGCGGUGAAAUGCGUAGAUAUUAGGAGGAACACCAGUGGCGAAGGCGGUCUGCUGGACAGCAACUGACGCUGAGGCGCGAAAGCGUGGGGAGCAAACAGGAUUAGAUACCCGAGUAGUC